This is a long non-coding RNA of Teleopsis dalmanni, 374 nucleotides long. RefSeq lists it as uncharacterized. The record is from RefSeq and is a predicted model, not a curated record. The transcript is spliced from 5 exons. NCBI's taxonomy places the organism in Eukaryota, Metazoa, Arthropoda, Insecta, Diptera, Diopsidae.
UUUUAUUUUUUUUUUUCAAUUAAGUGUAACCAGGUAGUAGUGUGAUAAGAGGAGGAAGGGUGUAAGCAAAUUUAAAAUAUGAAAAAAUGAAGCUGCAUAAUAUAUGGUGAAUUGAGAGAGCGUGCAUAAGUCAAGUUUUAAAUACGCUUAAUCCCCUGCAACGUUUUUGAAUAUAUCGGAUGUUGGAUUUAGCUUUGUCAAUAUUAUGAUUUUUUAAAAGUUGUAACUUUUCUUCAUUUGCGGGUGCUUGUUACAUACAUACAUACAUAUAUAGAAUUGUGCGUACUUAAGGAAUUGUUUUUGUACGAAUGUGCAUCGGCAAUGUUGAAAAGUGUUUUUAUUGUGUUUGCAAGAAGUCCAUCUAUUGAAACCUA